Molecule: ribosomal RNA, 465 nt
Filed under: uncultured bacterium
Lineage: Bacteria
Description: partial 16S ribosomal RNA
Rfam family: Bacterial small subunit ribosomal RNA
Source: RNAcentral
GACGAACGCUGGCGGCGUGCUUAACACAUGCAAGUCGAACGGAAAGGCCCUGCUUGCAGGGUACUCGAGUGGCGAACGGGUGAGUAACACGUGGGUUAUCUGCCCUGCACUUCGGGAUAAGCCUGGGAAACUGGGUCUAAUACCGGAUAGGAGCCAUUUUUAGUGUGAUGGUUGGAAAGUUUUUUCGGUGUAGGAUGAGCUCGCGGCCUAUCAGCUUGUUGGUGGGGUAAUGGCCUACCAAGGCGGCGACGGGUAGCCGGCCUGAGAGGGUGGACAGCCACAUUGGGACUGAGAUACGGCCCAGACUCCUACGGGAGGCAGCAGUGGGGAAUAUUGCACAAUGGGCGCAAGCCUGAUGCAGCGACGCCGCGUGGGGGAUGGCGGCCUUCGGGUUGUAAACUCCUUUCGCUAGGGACGAAGCUUUUUGUGACGGUACCUAGAUAAGAAGCACCGGCUAACUACGUG